GUUUUUUAUUGGUUGAAUGCAAUAAUACAAAGGGCAUGUCUAAAAUGGCCUGUAGAGGGAAAACAAAAGCCGGGGUGGGCAUAUCACAAAUAAUGUUAACAGUUAAUAUACACACCACGGUUUGUUCAGCAGCUUCUUAAUCUGACAUCAAUUGACAGGGAUUUCCAUUCUAAACAAACCUUCAAUUGUCUUGUACUUCCUACUG
Molecule: unclassified non-coding RNA, 205 nt
Filed under: Hevea brasiliensis (rubber tree)
Lineage: Eukaryota; Viridiplantae; Streptophyta; Magnoliopsida; Malpighiales; Euphorbiaceae
Source: RNAcentral